GGGACGAGCCCAGCACCGAAUCCCCCGGCAUGCAGCCGGCGGGAAAUGUGGUGUGUGGGACGCCAACUGUCGUCCGCGCUGGAGACCGAAGUCCUCCUGAUCGGGGCCUCUCCCACAGCGGGUGUCAGGCCUUUACUGGUCUCUGGCCGGGCGGCUGCGAGCGUCUCAGGAGUCGGGUUGUUUGGGAAUGCAGCCCAAAGCGGGGGGGAAACUCCAUCUAAG
This 222-nucleotide ribosomal RNA is filed under the name Heterogen sp. HT-2019. RNAcentral describes it as "partial 28S rRNA". It matches the Rfam family "Eukaryotic large subunit ribosomal RNA", at positions 100 to 314 of the family's 3401-position model. Lineage: Eukaryota; Metazoa; Mollusca; Gastropoda; Architaenioglossa; Viviparidae. The record is from RNAcentral.